GGGCGUAUAGCUCAGUGGUAGAGCAUUUGACUGCAGAUGAACAGGUCCCCAGUUCAACUCUGGGUGCCCCCU
This 72-nucleotide transfer RNA is filed under the name Pleuronectes platessa (European plaice). It matches the Rfam family "tRNA". Rfam says of the family: Transfer RNA (tRNA) molecules are approximately 80 nucleotides in length. Their secondary structure includes four short double-helical elements and three loops (D, anti-codon, and T loops). Lineage: Eukaryota; Metazoa; Chordata; Actinopteri; Pleuronectiformes; Pleuronectidae. The record is from Rfam by way of RNAcentral.